This 322-nucleotide ribosomal RNA is filed under the name uncultured Rhogostoma. RNAcentral describes it as "SSU rRNA". It matches the Rfam family "Eukaryotic small subunit ribosomal RNA", at positions 632 to 955 of the family's 1831-position model. The record is from RNAcentral. Lineage: Eukaryota; Cercozoa; Thecofilosea; Cryomonadida.
GAUUUCUGACUUGAAACAUUUUGCCGGCCACGGUUUCGUGUGUUAGUGCUUGAUGUUCUGGUCAUCCUUCCAAUCGCUAUUGACUAUUCUUCAUUGAUUGGUCAGUGGUAUUGGAUCUUUUACUUUGAAAAAAUUAGAGUGUUUCAAGCAGGCUUUAUGCUAUGAAUACAUUAGCAUGGAAUAAUAAUUUAGGACUUCGGUUCUAUUUUGUUGGUUUCUAGGACUGAAGUAAUGAUUGAUAGGGAUAGUUGGGGGUGCUAGUAUUCAGCGGCCAGAGGUGAAAUUCUCGGAUUCGCUGAAGACUAACUUAUGCGAAAGCAUU